UAAUACCCGAAUCAACUGGCCCACACAGAAGGAAGGGUGUACAAGUGUGCACUCUGUGUGUGGAGCUUGCUACCAGCUUAGAUACAGACUGGCACCCACAACCUGAGCCUAUCAGAGUUGUACAGGGUAGAUUGUUGUUGACCCAGGCUGGUGACACUAACAGCUUUGGCACUCUUAGAUGGUGUUCAAUUACACCACUUGCUUGACCACCCGGGCUUCUGACCUAUCAGCUAGACUGUGGUGCAAUGGACCACAAUGGCACUUACGGGUAACGGGGAAUCAGGGUUCGACUCCGGAGAGGGAGCGUGAGAGAUGGCUACCACUACCAAGGUGGGCAGCAGGCACGUAAAUUGCCCACUACAGACACAACCUGUGAGGCAGCAACGAACUAGAAUAAUCCUGUUGGCUAUGUGUGUUGACAUGACUUNUAAUGGAUACUAUCUNAACACAGUCAUGAGUAUCUUUUAGG
Molecule: ribosomal RNA, 469 nt
Filed under: uncultured eukaryote
Lineage: Eukaryota
Description: bacterial SSU rRNA
Rfam family: Eukaryotic small subunit ribosomal RNA
Source: RNAcentral